AUGAAUUGAUUUUUCCAUACAUUGCUUUAUAUGGUCUCUUUGUCCUCCUGUACAAUGCACCUGUUCAAAGAGAAGACACAAAGGAGACUCGCUCUCCUUUUACAACUUUAAAAUAUUUUGCCAUCGCCUGCUCUCUUCUUCUGCAUAUUGUUUACUUGAUGGUAACUCCACCAAGAAGGUACCCCUUCCUCUUUGAGGCAGUAAUGAUGCUUCUCUGCUUCUGUCAGUUCUUUUUAGUUUUUAUGUACA
RNAcentral lists this unclassified non-coding RNA (249 nucleotides) under Hevea brasiliensis (rubber tree). Lineage: Eukaryota; Viridiplantae; Streptophyta; Magnoliopsida; Malpighiales; Euphorbiaceae. The record is from RNAcentral.